Molecule: ribosomal RNA, 718 nt
Filed under: uncultured bacterium
Lineage: Bacteria
Description: bacterial SSU rRNA
Rfam family: Bacterial small subunit ribosomal RNA
Source: RNAcentral
GAGUUUGAUCCUGGCUCAGGACGAACGCUGGCGGCGUGCCUAAUACAUGCAAGUCGAGCGAGCGGAACUAACAGAUUUACUUCGGUAAUGACGUUAGGAAAGCGAGCGGCGGAUGGGUGAGUAACACGUGGGGAACCUGCCCCAUAGUCUGGGAUACCACUUGGAAACAGGUGCUAAUACCGGAUAAGAAAGCAGACCGCAUGAUCAGCUUUUAAAAGGCGGCGUAAGCUGUCGCUAUGGGAUGGCCCCGCGGUGCAUUAGCUAGUUGGUAAGGUAAAGGCUUACCAAGGCGAUGAUGCAUAGCCGAGUUGAGAGACUGAUCGGCCACAUUGUGACUGAGACACGGCCCAAACUCCUACGGGAGGCAGCAGUAGGGAAUCUUCCACAAUGGACGCAAGUCUGAUGGAGCAACGCCGCGUGAGUGAAGAAGGUUUUCGGAUCGUAAAGCUCUGUUGUUGGUGAAGAAGGAUAGAGGUAGUAACUGGCCUUUAUUUGACGGUAAUCAACCAGAAAGUCACGGCUAACUACGUGCCAGCAGCCGCGGUAAUACGUAGGUGGCAAGCGUUGUCCGGAUUUAUUGGGCGUAAAGCGAGCGCAGGCGGAAGAAUAAGUCUAAUGUGAAAGCCCUCGGCUUAACCGAGGAAGUGCAUCGGAAACUGUUUUUCUUGAGUGCAGAAGAGGAGAGUGGAACUCCAUGUGUAGCGGUGAAAUGCGUAGA